RNAcentral lists this ribosomal RNA (716 nucleotides) under uncultured Nitrospirota bacterium. RNAcentral's name for it is "bacterial SSU rRNA". It matches the Rfam family "Bacterial small subunit ribosomal RNA", at positions 8 to 662 of the family's 1533-position model. The record is from RNAcentral. Lineage: Bacteria; Pseudomonadati; Nitrospirota.
AGAGUUUGAUCCUGGCUCAGAACGAACGCUGGCGGCGUGCUUAACACAUGCAAGUCGAACGGAGUUAAGGCAGGGACAAAGGCAAGGGGUUAGUAUAUAGGGAAUAGGGAUUGCAAAAAACAAACCCCCCAUCCCGAAUCCCUGGUUUUUGUCCUUGUCUUAACUUACUGGCGGACGGGUGAGUAACACGUAGGUAACCUGCCUUGAAGUGGGGGACAACCCAGGGAAACUUGGGCUAAUACCGCAUAAGACCACUAUCUGGGAGGAUUGUGGUAAAAGCAGCAAUGCGCUUUGAGAGGGGCCUGCGGCCUAUCAGGUAGUUGGUAAGGUAAUGGCUUACCAAGCCUAACACGGGUAGCCGGACUGAGAGGUUGAACGGCCACACUGGAACUGAUAUACCGUCCACACUCCUACGGGAGGCAGCAGUGGGGAAUUUUGCGCAAUGGGGGAAACCCUGACACACCGACCCCGCGUGGAGGAUGAAGGUUUUCAGAUUGUAAACUCCUUUUGUACGGGAAAAUAAUGAUGGUACCCUAUGAAUAAGCCACGGCUAACUCUGUGCCAUCAGCCGCGGUAAGACAGAGGUGGCAAGCGUUGUUCGGAAUUACUGGGCUUAAAGGGCGCGUAGGUGGUGGCAUAAGUCCAAGGUGGAAGGCUAAGGCUUAACCUUAUAAUUGCCUUGGAAACUGUAUCACUUGAGUAAGCGAGGGGAUGGC